UAGAGCAGACACGGGCAAGGGCAAGGCUACCGACUGGCUUAUCCUUUUUAUGUUUAAAGCUAUUAUGUUAUGUUAGGAUUAUUUGCGGACUAUGUUUAAGCUUAAGUAUGAUCAUGUAAUAAGUCUUUAUUAGAUAUUAUUAUGUAAUCUAUUAAGCACUGUAGGUUGCAAGACUUGGGGAAUAAUUAUAAUAAAUCAUUGUAUAUUAUUCUAAAAUAGAUUUUCUGUUGUGUAUGCGUUAUUUUAGUUAUUAUGGUUUUACCAUGAGAACGUGAUGAACCGAAUUCGAGUGACCAAGUGGAGGUCCGAAUUUGGGGGCGUCACAGGUUGGUAUCAAAGCCUUAGUUAUAAACCUUAGGAGCGAGUGUCCUUAGAUUAUAACUUAAGGGAACUUAGAAGUUAGGAAGGAGAUAAAACUCAUGUAGAGUUUUACUUGAGAGGCUUAGUGUGUUAUGAAAUGUAAUUUUAUUCUAUACAAUGAACUUAUAUUUUUUUAACAUUCUAAUGGAGUUGUUGUUUGUGUUGUCUUAUGUUGGUGAUUGUAGGAUGACUGACAUGGGAGGACCUAGCCGAGUAGUAGAGGAGGAGCCACGUGAUAUCCACGUAGUAUUUGAGACACCCUUGAUAGCAGAGCCUAUUUUAGUAGUAGCCCCUUUUGAUAAUGACGAUGAGGAAGAGGUGGAGUCUGACCCUGAGGAGGAGCCCGAGCCUGUAGAGGACUCCAACGAGGCUACUUUUGAGGAUCGGAUGUUAGGAGAGUAUGAGGAGUAGAUAUUGGAGUUGGGAUGUAGAGUAGAGGAGCUUGAGGCUAAGGCUAGGGAGAGGGAGUCUGCGUUCCAGAAGUUGAGGGACGAGGACCAUCAGAGGCAGCUAGUGAUGCAGGAGAUGGAGGUGGAGAUUGCUCACCGUAAGGAAGCAGGGAUCUAGAUGGGAACUUUGUUUCACCGAGCGGUGGCGAGGAAUGUUGAAGUGGCAGGAAAACUAUAGGAAUUAGAGCAGAAAGUGUUGAGUGAGAGGGCGGAGAAGGAGGCUCUCCGAACUCAGUUAGAGAUGGA
RNAcentral lists this long non-coding RNA (1055 nucleotides) under Panax ginseng (ginseng). Its description in RNAcentral is "long non-coding RNA (PGIN_LNC002156)". Lineage: Eukaryota; Viridiplantae; Streptophyta; Magnoliopsida; Apiales; Araliaceae. The record is from RNAcentral.